Molecule: ribosomal RNA, 569 nt
Filed under: Ralstonia sp. A6
Lineage: Bacteria; Pseudomonadati; Pseudomonadota; Betaproteobacteria; Burkholderiales; Burkholderiaceae
Description: bacterial SSU rRNA
Rfam family: Bacterial small subunit ribosomal RNA
Source: RNAcentral
GAGUUUGAUCCUGGCUCAGAUUGAACGCUGGCGGCAUGCCUUACACAUGCAAGUCGAACGGCAGCAUGAUCUAGCUUGCUAGAUUGAUGGCGAGUGGCGAACGGGUGAGUAAUACAUCGGAACGUGCCCUGUAGUGGGGGAUAACUAGUCGAAAGAUUAGCUAAUACCGCAUACGACCUGAGGGUGAAAGUGGGGGACCGCAAGGCCUCAUGCUAUAGGAGCGGCCGAUGUCUGAUUAGCUAGUUGGUGGGGUAAAGGCCCACCGAGGCGACGAUCAGUAGCUGGUCUGAGAGGACGAUCAGCCACACUGGGACUGAGACACGGCCCAGACUCCUACGGGAGGCAGCAGUGGGGAAUUUUGGACAAUGGGCGAAAGCCUGAUCCAGCAAUGCCGCGUGUGUGAAGAAGGCCUUCGGGUUGUAAAGCACUUUUGUCCGGAAAGAAAUGGCUCUGGUUAAUACCUGGGGUCGAUGACGGUACCGGAAGAAUAAGGACCGGCUAACUACGUGCCAGCAGCCGCGGUAAUACGUAGGGUCCAAGCGUUAAUCGAUUACUGGGCGUAAGCGUGC